GCCUAAUACAUGCAAGUCGAGCGGAUGCACCAAGAGCUUGCUCUUUUGAAGUUAGCGGCGGACGGGUGAGUAACACGUGGGUAACCUGCCCAUAAGACUGGGAUAACUCCGGGAAACCGGGGCUAAUACCGGAUAACAUUUUGAACCGCAUGGUUCGAAAUUGAAAGGCGGCUUCGGCUGUCACUUAUGGAUGGACCCGCGUCGCAUUAGCUAGUUGGUGAGGUAACGGCUCACCAAGGCAACGAUGCGUAUCCGACCUGAGAGGGUGAUCGGCCACACUGGGACUGAGACACGGCCCAGACUCCUACGGGAGGCAGCAGUAGGGAAUCUUCCGCAAUGGACGAAAGUCUGACGGAGCAACGCCGCGUGAGUGAUGAAGGCUUUCGGGUCGUAAAACUCUGUUGUUAGGGAAGAACAAGUGCUAGUUGAAUAAGCUGGCACCUUGACGGUACCUAACCAGAAAGCCACGGCUAACUACGUGCCAGCAGCCGCGGUAAUACGUAAGUGGCAAGCGUUAUCCGGAAUUAUUGGGCGUAAAGCGCGCGCAGGUGGUUUCUUAUUUCUGAUGUGAAAGCCCACGGCUCACCCGUGGAGGGUCAUUGGAAACUGGGAGACUUGAGUGCAGAAGAGGAAAGUGGAAUUCCAUGUGUAACGGUGAAAUGCGAAAUGAUAUGGAGGAACACCAAAGGCGAAUGCCACUUUCUGGUCUGUAACUGACAAUGAGGCGCGAAAGCGUGAGGAGCAAACAGGAUUAGAUGACCUGGUAGUCCACGCCGUAAACGAUGAGUGCUAAGUGUUAGGGUUUUCCCGCCCUUUACUGCUGUACUGAACGUAAUAAGCACUCCGCCUGGGGAGUACGGCCGC
This 864-nucleotide ribosomal RNA is filed under the name Bacillus cereus. Its description in RNAcentral is "bacterial SSU rRNA". It matches the Rfam family "Bacterial small subunit ribosomal RNA", at positions 46 to 889 of the family's 1533-position model. Lineage: Bacteria; Bacillati; Bacillota; Bacilli; Caryophanales; Bacillaceae. The record is from RNAcentral.